GGGGAUGUCCCGGUUUCGACAGGAUAUCUUCGGUGAAAAGCUGCAGUGGUUUGGUAGACCAUAAGACUUCUAGGUUUGAAAAAAUGCAAACAAAAAACGCGAAAGCGAAAACUUUGAAAUGCCAGCAUUUAUGAUCAAUAACGCAUCAGCUGGAGUUGCUUUAGCAGCUUAAUAAUUCUUUAGAAUUAUAGUAUUUCCGCAAAACAAUAAAUUGCAUAGUAUUGUUUUUGUGUAAGCCUAUUGCAAUAGAACUGAUGACCGACAGUAAGUCAGUUCGAAAUUUUACUGUCACCAUUUUUUAUAAUUUUUUGAUAACUUUAUUAUAUUAAAUGCUCUCAAAGUUAUCUAAACUGUAGAUGCUCUUCACUGAACUAUUUUGGACGCGGGUUCGAUUCCCGCCAUCUCCACCA
This 410-nucleotide transfer-messenger RNA is filed under the name Mycoplasmataceae. RNAcentral's name for it is "Spiroplasma_B sabaudiense Standard tmRNA". It matches the Rfam family "transfer-messenger RNA". Rfam says of the family: Bacterial tmRNA, also known as 10Sa RNA or SsrA, is named for its dual tRNA and mRNA-like properties. Its role is to liberate the mRNA from a stalled ribosome. RNAcentral also lists the same sequence under 1 other name. The record is from RNAcentral. Lineage: Bacteria; Bacillati; Mycoplasmatota; Mollicutes; Mycoplasmatales.